CCCGCUGAGACUCAAGACAUGCUGGGCCGUCUUUUACAUUACUGUAUUGAGGAAGAGAGCGACGUGUGUGUGCGUGACCGGGCUUUGCUGUACUACAGACUUCUUCAGCGUGGAGUUGAAGAGACGAGGAAAGUUGUAACCGGACCCAAAUCCGAUCCGUCCAUGAGUGUUCUCACCGGACGGCAAGAAGAGCCCAUUAGUCAGUGGGCCUCUACCUUCAACACACUCGGCCUGCUGUCUGGACGCGAUUUAUGCCUUCAGACUGCUGUUAUAUCAGCCGCUGACCAACCAUCCAACAGUACAGAAAAGGAGCUGUUGCCAGUCAUUCAAGACU
This is a long non-coding RNA of Sinocyclocheilus rhinocerous, 334 nucleotides long. RefSeq lists it as uncharacterized. Lineage: Eukaryota; Metazoa; Chordata; Actinopteri; Cypriniformes; Cyprinidae. The transcript is spliced from 3 exons. The record is from RefSeq and is a predicted model, not a curated record.